UAUAUCCCGCAACAAGCGCAAUCUUUAUCCUAGUUGCAGCGAUUCGGUCGGGAACUUUGGGGAGACUGCCGGUGAUAAACCGGAGGAGGGUGGGGACGACGUCAAGUCAUCAUGGCCCUUACGGGAUGGGCUACACACGUGCUACAAUGGCGUAUACAAAGGGAAGCUAGCCUGCGAGGGUAUGCGGAUCUCAUAAAGUACGUCGUAAUCCGGAUUGGAGUCUGCAACUCGACUCCAUGAAGUCGGAAUCGCUAGUAAUCGCGGAUCAAAAUGCCGCGGUGAAUACGUUCCCGGGCCUUGUC
This 302-nucleotide ribosomal RNA is filed under the name uncultured bacterium. RNAcentral's name for it is "bacterial SSU rRNA". It matches the Rfam family "Bacterial small subunit ribosomal RNA", at positions 1081 to 1384 of the family's 1533-position model. The record is from RNAcentral.